UGAUAUCUCUAUCAGUUUCCUCUUGGCUGCCUCCUAUGUCACGAAAUGAACAGCAGAAGAAUACACAUAUAUCCGAAUCCCCGUUCUGUAAAAAGUGAAGAACUUGUUAGUGCACCCCUCUAUCAGGACAAACCAGAAGGAGUGCUGAUUGCUGGAACAAGCUGGAAGCUGUUUCAGAAGACUAAAGUGAAGAUCAAGUAAUUGAUGCUGACGUGGAUAUGCCGCCAAAUGAACGAAUGACGUGGAGAUCACAACAGGAUGAGUUCAGUUUGGAGAGGAGAUAUUCAUGCGAAGAUUUGGAGUGAUCCAAGAUCUCGAACGCUAACCUAGAAGACCAAAGACCUCGAUAGUAUAAAUAGAGGUGCUAAGGUUCUUGUUAGACGGGGCCGUGAUUGUGAGUGAAAAGCUAGUGCAACGCUUUUCAUUAUUAGAGACUAAGGUUUAGUCUGAUUGGAAUUCUAGAGAGAUCAAAGAGUGUGUUCUUGUGAUCUGCUCUUGUGUGUUUAAGGAAAUCUCAGGUGACAAGCUAAAGUAGUUUAGAUCUUGUGUAAAACCAAUUAAGGUAGUUGUAAACUUCUUAAUCAGAUUUCUAAUAAAGUGAUACUCAGUGGUUCUGAGUUUGGGGAAUACGAUUCUUGGUUCAUCCGGAAUUUCAAAACUUACUGAUUCCUUCCUCAUGAGUCACCCUUUUGGCGCAAUCCCAGACGCCUUUGUAGUUACCGAACCCAUUUUGGUGCCUCAGCUUCGCCAUAUCAACAGGAGUUGAAACGGCAUAACUCCAUACAGCCGUGAAGGCCCAGGAAAUCACGUGCACCACGGGGUUGUUUGGAUUCCCGGUAGACAAGAAAUUCUUGGAUACAUCGUAGAAGGAGAAAUGUACGAAUUGAGCGGGUCCCAUGGC
RNAcentral lists this small RNA (901 nucleotides) under Arabidopsis thaliana (thale cress). RNAcentral describes it as "ATSL004340". Lineage: Eukaryota; Viridiplantae; Streptophyta; Magnoliopsida; Brassicales; Brassicaceae. The record is from RNAcentral.